This 328-nucleotide ribosomal RNA is filed under the name uncultured eukaryote. RNAcentral describes it as "partial 18S ribosomal RNA". It matches the Rfam family "Eukaryotic small subunit ribosomal RNA", at positions 1470 to 1796 of the family's 1831-position model. The record is from RNAcentral.
CCCUUAGAUGUUCUGGGCCGCACGCGCGCUACAAUGAUGAAUUCAACGAGUUUAUAACCUUGGUUGAAAAGCCUGGGUAAUCUUUUGAACUUUCGUCGUGAUGGGGCUAGACCCUUGCAAUUAUUGGUCUCCAACGAGGAAUUCCUAGUAAACGCAAGUCAUCAGCUUGCAUUGAUUACGUCCCUGCCCUUUGUACACACCGCCCGUCGCUCCUACCGAUUGGGUGUGCUGGUGAAAUGUUCGGAUCGGCCGUUUGUCGCGGUUUCCGCGUCAUGUGGCUGAGAAGUUCAUUAAACCCUCCCACCUAGAGGAAGGAGAAGUCGUAACA